This is a non-coding RNA of Picea glauca (white spruce), 470 nucleotides long. Lineage: Eukaryota; Viridiplantae; Streptophyta; Pinopsida; Pinales; Pinaceae. The record is from Rfam.
CCUGCUAACUAGCUACGCGGAGGUUCCCCUUCGCGACCAUCUUCUUAGAGGGACUAUGGUCGUUUAAGCCAUGGAAGUUUGAGGCAAUAACAGGUCUGUGAUGCCCUUAGAUGUUCUGGGCCGCACGCGUGCUACACUGAUGCAGUCAAUGAGUUUUUCUCCCUGGUUCAAGAGGAUCAAGAAAUCUUCUCAAAUUGCAUCGUGAUGGGGAUAGACCAUUGCAAUUAUUGGUCUUCAACGAGGAAUUCCUAAUAAGCACGUGUCAUCAUCUCAUGUUGACUACGUCCCUACCCUUUGUACACAUCGCCCGUCGCUCCUACCGAUUGAAUGAUCCGGUGAAGUGUUCGGAUCGCAUCAACGAGGGUGGUUCGCCACCUAUGAUGUCAUGAGAAGUUCACUGAACCUUAUCAUUUAGAGGAAGGAGAAGUCGUAACAAGGUUACCGUAGGUGAACUUGCAGUAGGAUCAUUG